This 406-nucleotide ribosomal RNA is filed under the name uncultured bacterium. RNAcentral describes it as "partial 16S ribosomal RNA". It matches the Rfam family "Bacterial small subunit ribosomal RNA", at positions 28 to 526 of the family's 1533-position model. The record is from RNAcentral.
GACGAACGCUGGCGGCAGGCCUAACACAUGCAAGUCGAACGAGUGGCGGAAGGGUGAGUAAUGUCUGGGAAAAUGCCCGAGGGAGGGGGAUAACUACUGGAAACGGUAGCUAAUACCGCAUAACAUCGGAUGUGGCCAGAUGGGAUUAGCAAGGAGGUAGGGUAAUGGCUCACCUAGGAGACGAUCCCUAGCGUGUCUGAGAGGAAGACCAGCCACACUGGAACUGAGACACGGUCCAGACUCCUACGGGAGGCAGCAGUGGGGAAUAUUGCACAAUGGGCGAAAGCCUGAUGCAGCCAUGCCGCGUGUAUGAAGAAGGCCUUCGGGUUGUAAAGUACUUUCAGCGAGGAGGCGUUACUCGCAGAAGAAGCACCGGCUAACUCCGUGCCAGCCGCCGCGGUAAUUC